Molecule: non-coding RNA, 129 nt
Organism: Triticum aestivum (bread wheat)
Lineage: Eukaryota; Viridiplantae; Streptophyta; Magnoliopsida; Poales; Poaceae
Source: Rfam
UAAGUACUCCCUCCGUCCCAGAAUACUUGUCUUAAAUUUGUCUACUUGUAUCUAUUCAUGUUUUAGUGUUAGAUACAUCCAUAUCUAGAUAAAUUUAAGACAAGAAUUUUGGGACGGAGGGAGUACUUA